This 254-nucleotide ribosomal RNA is filed under the name uncultured bacterium. RNAcentral's name for it is "partial 16S ribosomal RNA". It matches the Rfam family "Bacterial small subunit ribosomal RNA", at positions 524 to 777 of the family's 1533-position model. The record is from RNAcentral.
UACGGAGGGAGCUAGCGUUGUUCGGAAUUACUGGGCGUAAAGGGCGCGUAGGCGGCCUGCUAAGUCGAACGUGAAAUCCCCGGGCUCAACCCGGGAACUGCGUCCGAUACUGGCAGGCUUGAAUCCGGGAGAGGGAUGCGGAAUUCCAGGUGUAGCGGUGAAAUGCGUAGAGAUCUGGAGGAACACCGGUGGCGAAGGCGGCAUCCUGGACCGGCAUUGACGCUGAGGCGCGAAAGCCAGGGGAGCAAAGCGGG